GAUGGAAAACUCGAUGGUACA
This 21-nucleotide non-coding RNA is filed under the name Arabidopsis thaliana (thale cress). Lineage: Eukaryota; Viridiplantae; Streptophyta; Magnoliopsida; Brassicales; Brassicaceae. The record is from RNAcentral.